This is a non-coding RNA of Streptomyces sp. 13-12-16, 78 nucleotides long. Lineage: Bacteria; Bacillati; Actinomycetota; Actinomycetes; Kitasatosporales; Streptomycetaceae. The record is from Rfam.
GGGAGCGUCGAUCCGUACACGGUCUUGAAAACCGUCGUGGCAGCGAUGUCACCGUGGGUUCAAAUCCCACCGCCUCCG